This 74-nucleotide transfer RNA is filed under the name Candidatus Dormiibacterota bacterium. RNAcentral's name for it is "tRNA-Ile". It matches the Rfam family "tRNA". Rfam says of the family: Transfer RNA (tRNA) molecules are approximately 80 nucleotides in length. Their secondary structure includes four short double-helical elements and three loops (D, anti-codon, and T loops). The record is from RNAcentral. Lineage: Bacteria; Bacillati; Candidatus Dormiibacterota. RNAcentral also lists the same sequence under 2 other names.
GGGCCCAUAGCUCAGCUGGUGAGAGCAGCCGGCUCAUAACCGGUUGGUCCUUGGUUCGAGUCCAAGUGGGCCCA